Suricata suricatta (meerkat) is the source of this 105-nucleotide small nuclear RNA. The record is from Ensembl. Lineage: Eukaryota; Metazoa; Chordata; Mammalia; Carnivora; Herpestidae.
GUGCUUGCUUCAGCAGCACAUAUACUAAAAUUGGAACAACAGAGAAGGUUAGCACAGCCCCUGCACAAAGACUAUACACAAAUUCAAGAAGUGUUACACAUUUUU